NAUUAGCUAGUUGGUGAGGCAAUAGCUUACCGAGGCAAUGAUUAGUAGCUGGUCCGAGAGGAUGAUCAGUCACAUUAGGACCGAGACAUGACCCAGACUCCUACGGGAGGUAGUAGUGGGGAAUUUUUCACAAUGGACGAAAGCCUGAUGGAGCAACGUCGCGUAGAGGUAGAAGGUCCACGGGUCCUGAACUUCUUUUCCCGAAGAAGAAGCAAUGAUGAUAUCUGGAGGAUAAGCAUCGGCUAACUCUAUGCCAGCAGCUACAAUAAGACAGAGGAUGCAAGUAUUAUCUAAAAUGAUUGGGCGUAAACCAUCUCUAGGUGGCUUUUUAAGUCCACCGUCAAUUCCCAAGGCUCAACCCUGGACUGUGGUGGAAACUACCAAGCUGGAGGUAGGGG
RNAcentral lists this long non-coding RNA (398 nucleotides) under Olea europaea subsp. europaea. It matches the Rfam family "Bacterial small subunit ribosomal RNA", at positions 239 to 653 of the family's 1533-position model. Lineage: Eukaryota; Viridiplantae; Streptophyta; Magnoliopsida; Lamiales; Oleaceae. The record is from RNAcentral.